Long non-coding RNA from Dicentrarchus labrax (European seabass), 911 nucleotides. RefSeq lists it as uncharacterized. The transcript is spliced from 2 exons. The record is from RefSeq and is a predicted model, not a curated record. Lineage: Eukaryota; Metazoa; Chordata; Actinopteri; Moronidae.
CGGAGAGGCCAUCGGCAAAGGUCCUGCGUAGUGCUCAUUGGAACCAUAAAGCACAAAGAAGAUCUGCCAGAAGGGGGGGAUAUGUGGCUAUUGCAACCUUAAACCAUAUGAGGAUCCUUUUGCAAUCAGAGAAUCUUGUCCAAAAGCAAUGCAGUAUGAAGCUCAUCAUCACAUUAUUUGUCCUACAUAAUGCACUCUUCCUGACAUUUCUCUGCUGUUCAUCUAUUUUUAAGCAAACCCUGCUUUGCAGUGUUUUCUGAUCCAAGAACCCCCCAUUCACUGAUGAUAAAAAUGAAAAUAGAUUGGUGCGUGCAACAUUGAGACACACAGACAACUCCCUGAUGUGAUUAAAUAUCCAAAAGAAACAAUCCUGAAUCCUAUUUGUUUAGCAAAUGGAACAACUUGACUCUCAUCUCUCAUUGACUCCCCCACCUGUAGAGCCUGAAACCUCACUUUCAAACAAUGUUACAUAAGAGAUGGAGAGCAUCUGUGGAAAAAGUGUGUUAUGCUGAUGUGGGGGGACCACAGUGGGGGAGUCAACUGUUUACUGGCCAGAAACCAUCAAAGCCUUUGAUUUAACCAGCUUCCUUCUAAUGUGGUAAGCGAUGAAAAUCAGUACAAAACUAUGUUAAUGUUUGAAAAUUAAAAUUGUCUUCACCAGAAUACACAUUUGGAUUUAGAUCACCUGCUAAAUCCAAAGACAAUUCAAAUUAAAGUGUUAGAAUGUUAAAAUUACAUAAAUGUGUUCACUUAAUCAAGGACAGGAUUAGUUGCGCAAUCUUGCUGUUUUAUUACACACAAAUGGUCUUUUAUGUCCCUCAUCAUCAUAAAUCUAUUUUUCUUAUUCUACCCAGUUAUUGUUUUGUAACUUUUAUUUGAAUUUGCAUUGGUUAAAUAAGAAAUACACCAUC